This 536-nucleotide long non-coding RNA is filed under the name Rattus norvegicus (Norway rat). RNAcentral's name for it is "long non-coding RNA NONRATT019086". Lineage: Eukaryota; Metazoa; Chordata; Mammalia; Rodentia; Muridae. The record is from RNAcentral.
CUUGGCCCCUUUGGUAGAAGAAAUGGGCCCUCUUUGUGGGAGCAUAGAGAAGGCCAAGCAUUGGCUUCCAGUCCGCAGUGUUUCUCUCCACUGUUUUUAGGAGGCCUCGAGGCACCCACUGGGACUAGACCACAACUCCCCUGUCUCCCAGCCCAUGGGAUAUGGCCUGGAAUAUCAGCAGCCAUUUUUUGAAGACCCAACAAGAGCCAGCAACCUAGAGGAGGAUGAAGAGGACGGGUGGAGCAGAGCCUACCUGCCGUCUGCCGUGGAGCAGACUCACUCCACGAGAGCCACGCAGAACUCAUCGCCCUGUGGCACCUACCUUUCCUUCUUUUCCAACGCGUCAGAGCUGGCAGGUCCUGAGUCUUUGCCCCCAUGGACACUGAGUGACACUGACUCCAGGCUCUCCCCAGCGUCUCCAGCUGGGAAUCCUAAUGUAGACUUUGCAGCUCAUGAAGAAUCCUUAGGGGACAGACACCUGCGGACGCUGCAGUUAAGUUACGAAGCAGCACAGCUCUCCAACUUCAAGCGAGAAA